Long non-coding RNA from Hibiscus syriacus, 161 nucleotides. RefSeq lists it as uncharacterized. The record is from RefSeq and is a predicted model, not a curated record. The transcript has 3 exons. Lineage: Eukaryota; Viridiplantae; Streptophyta; Magnoliopsida; Malvales; Malvaceae.
GCAGUUCCGGCAGACAAGCCCCCCUUGGUUUUACUCUGCUUGCUACUAUAAAUGAACUGCAAAGCCUUCCCGUUCUUAAUAGGGAAUUCCCUGUACAUCAAUCCAAACUGAUGAAUAACAGAGAAACAGCUCAAAGAAAUUUGGUAGGUAGUGAGACCAAG